AUGGCCAGGCUGUCAGACAAAGAGUAUCUAGAAACAUUGUUGUUGUCAUGGGAGGAUAACAGCACGAGCCUUCAAGCAGAGGCAGCAAAGGAUGUGCUUGAAGUUCUUCAGCCACAUCAGGAUCUCAAAACUCUAGAAAUAACCGGAUAUGGUGGUGCUACCUCCCCAACCUGGCUUUCUAAUAAUUCCUCACUUACCUUGCUGCAGAUACUUCAUCUAGAGAAGUGCAGGGAAUGGCAAAUUCUUCCAACUCCUGAAAUGCUUCCUUUCCUUAGGAAGUUGACAUUGAUCAGAAUGUUGAAUUUAACGGAAAUCUCAGUUCCUUCCUUGGAAGAGCUGAUCUUGAUUGAUAUGCCCAAAUUGGAAAAGUGUAUCGGUUCUUACGGAAUGGAAUUGACUUCCCGUCUAAGGGUUUUGAUGAUCAAAAACUGCCCUCAACUGAACGAGUGCACUCAUUUCCAGAGUUACUCUUCUUUCGACGCAGAGCAGAAGUCAUGGUUUCCGUCUCUCCGCAAACUGUCCAUCGGGAUGUGUCCUCAUAUACUAAACAACUGGCCAGUCCUUCCAUUAAGAGAUAUGGGGGCGCUCAAGGAGCUGGAGUUGAUGGACCUGCAUGUUGUGAGAGAAUUGGCAGUCCCUUCUCUGAAGAAGUUGGUGUUGAUAAAAAUGUCAAGCCUGGAAGUUUGCAGCAGUCUAACGACUUCCCCACCUCUGCAACUUUUACCUUCCCAAGGUGCUCAAAGGGGAUGGCCAUCAAGUCUCCGUAGACUCGUCAAGGGGGUUCGGACCCUUCCAACAAUAAGGAUAAGACAGAGAGGUUUCACUGUCGAAUCUAAUGAGUUGUCCCUGCUUGAUGACAGUAUCCUGGCGUUCAAUAACCUUGGGGGCACAAUAUCAUUGCGCAUAGAAAAUAGUCCAAAUCUUGUAUCUCUUUCAAUUGAAGCUUUCAGCCAGCUCAUUGCUUUAGAGUAUUUAUAUAUACGCAACUGCCCUAAUCUGACCAUGUCAAACACUAUCUCAGAGUUUGUCCAGGAAAACAGUAUGCCUGCAAGCAACAUUGUCCUCCCAUCUCUCAAACAUGUUAACAUUGACACAUGUGGAGUAACAGGGAGGUGGCUAACACAAAUGCUUUCACAUUCACCGUCCCUUGAGAGGUUGCAAUUAACUAACUGUCCGCAGAUAAAGUUUCUAUCAAUCAGUCAACCUACAGAAACGGAAGGAACCAGGAGUUUGGCUUCAACAGCGAUGACCACAGCCCAAGAUGAACAGGAACUAAAACUGCCAUAUAAUCUCCUAUGUUCUCUCAAGACGUUAUGUAUUUCGAAGAGCCUGGACCUGGAGUUCUGCGGGGGUAAGAGAGAGCUCACAGGAUUCACCUCUCUUAGGAAGCUACACCUUGUUGGUUGCCCCAAGCUAGUCUCAUCGUGGAUUGGGGAAACAAAUGAUGAUGGUACCAUGCAUGUUAGUAGAUUGCUCCCGCCAUCACUUGAAGACCUUUGUAUGGGUCCUCUCCCAGAAAACUUGCAGUCAUUCACUCCCCAAGGCCUUCUCUGCCUCAAAAGGUUAAAUCUAUUUAGUGGCCCGUGUUUGAAGUCUGUGCAGCUACAUUCCUGUACGGCCUUGGAGUUCUUGCGAAUCGCAUGUUGUGUCCAGCUGGCUGCACUGGAGGGCUUGCAGUUUCUCAGCUCUCUCCGAAGCUUGUGGAUGGAGAUGAAUCCCGAGCUGUCUUCUGCAUGGGAUCUCAAACUGCUGGAGCAAGAACAGGGUGGCAAUCAAAUUCAGCUGCUUCCUCCCUCACUUGUAGAACUUCGGAUCUGGAAGCUCACAGAUAGUGUCCUGUCCGGUCUCCUGUCCUGCCUUCCUGCCUUGACCAAAUUAGCAAUAUUGAUCAGUCCAGAAUUGACGUCUCUACAGUUGGCAUAUUGCACGGCACUGGAAGAGUUGGAAAUUGGAUAUAGCAAGUCGCUUCCAUCGAUCGAGGGGCUCCAGUUCUGUAGAAACCUGACAUCCUUGAAAGUAUUUAAGUCCCCUGACUCCAGUUCCUGUUUGGAGUAUGUGUCGCGCCAGCAAGGGGCCUCUGAGAUCUGGUCUCGACUGAAAACUCUUAACAUUAGUGACCCAUCAUCUGCCCUUUCCAAGCCCUUGUGCAAACAGCUCACAACUCUAAGAUGCCUAAACUUCACCUGUGGGGGUGAUAAACAGGGAGAGACCUUGGUGACCCUAACAGAAGAACAAGAGAGCGUGUUACAGCUUCUAACCUCACUCCAAAAACUUGUAUUUCAUAGCUUCCCGAAUCUCUUGUCACUUCCUGCAAACCUACAAAGCCUGACCUCCCUCAAGAUGUUAUCUAUCAAUCAUUGUCAGAGGAUCACAAGGCUUCCAGACAUGGGCCUUCCACCUUCACUUAGGUACCUUAAGUUAGUCAGUUGCAGUGAGGAGCUAGGUAUGCAAUGUAGAAUUGCAGCAACUAAAAAGCUAAGGGUCAAGAUUGAAUAUCUGAAAUAA
Molecule: ribosomal RNA, 2505 nt
Filed under: Triticum aestivum (bread wheat)
Lineage: Eukaryota; Viridiplantae; Streptophyta; Magnoliopsida; Poales; Poaceae
Description: partial small subunit ribosomal RNA
Source: RNAcentral